This is a long non-coding RNA of Daucus carota subsp. sativus, 664 nucleotides long. RefSeq lists it as uncharacterized. The record is from RefSeq and is a predicted model, not a curated record. The transcript has 2 exons. Lineage: Eukaryota; Viridiplantae; Streptophyta; Magnoliopsida; Apiales; Apiaceae.
GAAGCACAGGGAUACUCGAUGUCAGUCCGUAAUAUGCAAUGUUUUUAAUCUUGAGUACGUCUUCUGCAGCACAGCACAAGUAGUACAUUAAGCUCAUAACAUAUAUGUAGCAAGUAGCAUCAUCGUGUUUAGAUCAUAAUAUCUUUUCGUAAAAUUAAGUAUUGUUAUAUCAUUUGGCUGCAACUGAAGUCUUCAUAUGUGUUAACAAUUGCCCGUCCCUAUUAUCUUAUCUUUUACAAAGGUCGUGCAAUGUGCUCAGUCUUCCCUACUUAUCAUCGGCAGAAUCUGAAAUCGUGUUUUUGGUGAGUGGAUUUUCAUUACAACUGUGGAAGCCCUUGCUGAUAUGUGACAACGAGCUAGAAAAUCCUCCCUGCAACUCUCGGGACAAUUCAAUUAAGUAGACACUUGACAAUUCCGCCAAACACGACCUUCUCUGUCAACAGUCCAAUAAUGUGGGAUCAUGCUUCAUUCCUUAUGUCCUCGUAUAUAUUCAAGGUGAAGGUGUACGUUUACUUUUACUGAUUGGCACCUUAAAUAAUAUAUAACUCAAUUAUUGAUGUCACAUUCAGAGUUUUUUUCAAGAUGAAUCGAUUAAAUUAUGAUUCAUGCGAAACCCAAAAACAUGAGCAUAAUCUACCAUAAUCAAUGGAGUGUUAUUAUAAGC